CUUUCUUGACAUCUCUUUCUUCUCAUACAGGCCAUGCCUUGCAAGUCUAUGUUUGGGUUCAUUUUUCUUUGCAUAAUCCAAAGAAUCAUAA
This is a long non-coding RNA of Otolemur garnettii (small-eared galago), 91 nucleotides long. RefSeq lists it as uncharacterized. The transcript has 2 exons. The record is from RefSeq and is a predicted model, not a curated record. NCBI's taxonomy places the organism in Eukaryota, Metazoa, Chordata, Mammalia, Primates, Galagidae.